UCCAGACUCCUACGGGAGGCAGCAGUGGGGAAUAUUGGACAAUGGGGGGAACCCUGAUCCAGCGACGCCGCGUGAGUGAAGAAGUAUUUCGGUAUGUAAAGCUCUCUCAGCAGGGAAGAAAGGAAUGACGGUACCUGACUAAGAAGCCCCGGCUAACUACGUGCCAGCAGCCGCGGUAAUACGGAGGAUGCGAGCGUUAUCCGGAUUUAUUGGGUUUAAAGGGUGCGUAGGCGGACUGUUAAGUCAGCGGUAAAACCCCGGGCCCCACCCCGGGGGAGCCGUUGAAACUGGCUGUCUUGAGAUGUCGAGAGGUAUGCGGAAUGCGCAGUGUAGCGGUGAAAUGCUUAGAUAUUGCGCAGAACUCCGAUUGCGAAGGCAGCAUACCGGCGGCGAUCUGACGCUGAGGCACGAAAGCGUGGGUAUCGAACAGGAUUAGAUACCCGAGUAC
RNAcentral lists this ribosomal RNA (448 nucleotides) under uncultured bacterium. RNAcentral describes it as "bacterial SSU rRNA". It matches the Rfam family "Bacterial small subunit ribosomal RNA", at positions 330 to 793 of the family's 1533-position model. The record is from RNAcentral.